RNAcentral lists this unclassified non-coding RNA (389 nucleotides) under soil metagenome. Its description in RNAcentral is "partial contains 5.8S ribosomal RNA, internal transcribed spacer 2, and large subunit ribosomal RNA". The stretch from base 1 to 122 matches the Rfam family "5.8S ribosomal RNA", at positions 35 to 154 of the family's 154-position model. The record is from RNAcentral.
GAUGAAGAACGCAGCGAAAUGCGAUACUUGGUGUGAAUUGCAGAAUCCCGUGAACCAUCGAGUCUUUGAACGCAAGUUGCGCCCGAAGCCAUUAGGCCGAGGGCACGCCUGCCUGGGCGUCACACGUCGUUGCCCCCCCAUCUACUCCUUCGGGAUUGCGGGGGGCGGAUGAUGGCCUCUCGUGCGCCUCGUCGCGCGGUUGGCCUAAAUGCCAAGUCCUCGGCGACGCACGCCACGACAAUCGGUGGUUGCGAAACCUCGGUUGCCUGUCGUGUGCGGUCGUCGCGCAUCGAGGGCUCGAAAAAAUUGCCGGGCUUCGGCUCGACUUUCAACGCGACCCCAGGUCAGGCGGGGUUACCCGCUGAAUUUAAGCAUAUCAAUACGGAGGA